RNAcentral lists this long non-coding RNA (549 nucleotides) under Nicotiana tabacum (common tobacco). Its description in RNAcentral is "long non-coding RNA (NTAB_LNC009431)". The record is from RNAcentral. Lineage: Eukaryota; Viridiplantae; Streptophyta; Magnoliopsida; Solanales; Solanaceae.
CUGACUUUAUCCAUUAGAUAAUUUGAUAUAACUCAAGGUCACCUAAUUGAUCUCAGGCAUCAUCAGUCACCCAUAGCUUGUAUGAUCAUCCUUCCAAUUCCAGAAUUACUAUUGUUUAUGAGCUUGAUAACAAUCAUGGUGUCAAGUUGUUGCUUCCAUUAUCAGUUAGAAAUCUUGAAUCCAAAUAUGCAAUUCAGAUAUGAAAAAACUAUCAGAAGCAGCUAAGUCAGUUACAAAAUUGAAUCUAGAGGUGAACUGUUUUCUAUGUUUUGCAUUCUAAUAUCAAAGUUGUAGUUUUUGUCCAAGAAGAACUGGUCAAUACAAUGAAAAAACAAAAUUAGUCACCACCCAUUAUCAUUACACAAAACAGAAAGCUUAAGUUAUUUUUAAAGAAAAGCGUGUUCUGGGGAUUGAAAAGAAUGUGGAAUUAUACCUGAUGAGCUUGAAAAUAGAAGAAUCUGAAAUCAACCAUUGCACCUGAUUUGCCCUGCUUGUUGUUCUGCCUUUGCAACUUUAACAUUUUUUCUUUGUCACCUCCACUCAAGUUGC